This 253-nucleotide ribosomal RNA is filed under the name uncultured bacterium. RNAcentral's name for it is "partial 16S ribosomal RNA". It matches the Rfam family "Bacterial small subunit ribosomal RNA", at positions 524 to 776 of the family's 1533-position model. The record is from RNAcentral.
UACGUAGGGGGCAAGCGUUGUCCGGAUUUAUUGGGCGUAAAGAGCGUGUAGGCGGCCAGAUAGGUCCGUUGUGAAAACUGGAGGCUUAACCUCCAGCUGUCGAUGGAAACCAUCUGGCUAGAGUCCGGAAGAGGAGAGUGGAAUUCCUCGUGUAGCGGUGAAAUGCGCAGAUAUCAGGAAGAACACCCGUGGCGAAGGCGGCUCUCUGGGACGGUACUGACGCUGAGACGCGAAAGCGUGGGGAGCGAACAGG